GAUGAACGCUAGCGGCAGGCUUAACACAUGCAAGUCGAGGGGCAGCGCGAUGUAGCAAUACAUUGGCGGCGACCGGCGCACGGGUGCGUAACACGUAUGGAACUUACCCUUUACUGGGAGAUAGCCCGGAGAAAUCCGGAUUAAUAUCCCAUAAUAAACGAAGUGGCAUCACUUUGUUUGAAAGCUCCGGCGUAAAGGAUGGCCAUGCGCACGAUUAGCUAGUAGGUGAGGUAACGGCUCACCUAGGCUACGAUCGUUAGGGGGCCUGGAGAGGGUUAUCCCCCANACUGGUACUGAGACACGGACCAGACUCCUACGGGAGGCAGCAGUGAGGAAUAUUGCGCAAUGGAGCAACUCUGACGCAGCCAUGCCGCGUGCAGGAAGAAGGCG
RNAcentral lists this ribosomal RNA (390 nucleotides) under uncultured bacterium. Its description in RNAcentral is "bacterial SSU rRNA". It matches the Rfam family "Bacterial small subunit ribosomal RNA", at positions 28 to 416 of the family's 1533-position model. The record is from RNAcentral.